This 301-nucleotide ribosomal RNA is filed under the name uncultured bacterium. RNAcentral's name for it is "partial 16S ribosomal RNA". It matches the Rfam family "Bacterial small subunit ribosomal RNA", at positions 509 to 809 of the family's 1533-position model. The record is from RNAcentral.
CAGCAGCCGCGGGAAUACGAAGGGUGCAAGCGUUACUCGGAAUUACUGGGCGUAAAGCGUGCGUAGGUGGUGGUUUAAGUCCGUUGUGAAAGCCCUGGGCUCAACCUGGGAAUUGCAGUGGAUACUGGGUCACUAGAGUGUGGUAGAGGAUAGUGGAAUUUCCGGUGUAGCAGUGAAAUGCGUAGAUAUCGGAAGGAACACCUGUGGCGAAAGCGGCUCACUGGACCAUAACUGACGCUGAUGCACGAAAGCUAGGGGAGCAAACAGGAUUAGAUACCCCCGUAGUCCCUGUCUCUUAUAA